AAUACUCUCAAUUUCAAUCUUUUUGUUUGAAAUUGGAUUUGGACGUUGUUGUGUCUCUCAACUCGUCCUAAAUGCAUUAGCGAAUCUGCCUUGAUCACGCACAAUGUGAUAAACAAAAGCAUUGUUGAGGUCUUGUCAAGUCGCUUCUAAUCGUCGAAAGACAACAUCAUGUC
Molecule: unclassified non-coding RNA, 173 nt
Filed under: uncultured Geastrum
Lineage: Eukaryota; Fungi; Basidiomycota; Agaricomycetes; Geastrales; Geastraceae
Description: sequence contains ITS2
Source: RNAcentral